GAUGAACGCUGGCGGCGUGCCUAAUACAUGCAAGUCGAGCGAACGGACGAGAAGCUUGCUUUUCUGAUGUUAGCGGCGGACGGGUGAGUAACACGUGGAUAACCUACCUAUAAGACUGGGAUAACUUCGGGAAACCGGAGCUAAUACCGGAUAAUAUUUUGAACCGCAUGGUUCAAAAGUGAAAGACGGUCUUGCUGUCACAUAUAGAUGGAUCCGCGCUGCAUUAGCUAGUUGGUAAGGUAACGGCCUACCAAGGCAACGAUGCAUAGCCGACCUGAGAGGGUGAUCGGCCACACUGGAACUGAGACACGGUCCAGACUCCUACGGGAGGCAGCAGUAGGGAAUCUUGCGCAAUGGGCGAAAGCCUGACGCAGCAACGCCGCGUGAGUGAUGAAGGUCUUCGGAUCGUAAAACUCUGUUAUUAGGGAAGAACAUAUGUGUAAGUAACUGUGCACAUCUUGACGGUACCUAAUCAGAAAGCCACGGCUAACUACGUG
RNAcentral lists this ribosomal RNA (497 nucleotides) under uncultured bacterium. RNAcentral's name for it is "partial 16S ribosomal RNA". It matches the Rfam family "Bacterial small subunit ribosomal RNA", at positions 28 to 507 of the family's 1533-position model. The record is from RNAcentral.